ACUCCCUGAAGGCCUCCCGAGCCGAAGGACCCGCAGGGCUCCGGGCCGUCUGCGGGGCUGGGUUGCCCUGCUCCCGCUGCCCGCCUGCUGGCUAAUUCUGAUUAUUUCUCUUUCUCCUUGCUCUCUUGGGCGCCUUUAUUCCUGACCGUGCAUUUUCUCUGGGCUCGGGAUUAGAAAAAAACCCACACUGCUAAUAUCCUUGUCAGCCUUUUCCUGAAUCAUUGCCGCGCAGCUCCAGGGAGCCACGGGCCAGCGCCUUCUGGCCGGCAGACUCCAUCCCUGGGCCUUCCUGUCCUUGGGGUCCUGGAGCCCCCUCUCUGAGUCUCCUCAUCUCCUGAAGGCAACACCUAGAGUCCCAGAUCCUCUGAGAAACGCCCAGCCGGGGGAAGCAGAUGGGCCUGAGAACUGAGAGUCCAGCUGAGCUUUUCCAUCUCACAGAUGCGCAAUCCGAACCUCAGAGGGCCUGGUGAUUUGCUCAAGGUCACACAGCUACCAAGGGUCGGGACUCCAGUCUCCAAGUGCGUAACUCAGCCUCAAAGCCAUCUCUUGUGGAAGUACUGCCUUCUUAUAGGAGGCAGAUUUAGAAGGCAGAAGAAAGGGGAGCUUUUCCAUGAACUCAC
This 620-nucleotide long non-coding RNA is filed under the name Equus caballus (horse). Its description in RNAcentral is "lncRNA (ENSECAG00000056057.1)". The record is from RNAcentral. Lineage: Eukaryota; Metazoa; Chordata; Mammalia; Perissodactyla; Equidae.